This is a non-coding RNA of Trichonephila inaurata madagascariensis, 67 nucleotides long. NCBI's taxonomy places the organism in Eukaryota, Metazoa, Arthropoda, Arachnida, Araneae, Nephilidae. The record is from the annotation of a GenBank genome assembly.
GCCCCUCCAGUAUAGUGGAUAUGACUCUCGGCUUGUAACCGAGUGGGUUCGAACCCCGAGUAAGGCA